AUUGAACGCUGGCGGCAUGCUUUACACAUGCAAGUCGAACGGUAACAGGUUAAGCUGACGAGUGGCGAACGGGUGAGUAAUGCAUCGGAACGUGCCCGGUCGUGGGGGAUAACGCAGCGAAAGCUGCGCUAAUACCGCAUACUAUCGGAGGAUGAAAACGGGGGACCGUAAGGUCUCGCGCGAUCGGAGCGGUCUAUGUCAGAUUAGGUAGUUGGUGAGGUAAAGGCUCACCAAGCCAACGACCUGUAGCUGGUCUGAGAGGACGACCAGCCCCACUGGGACUGAGACACGGCCCAGACUCCUACGGGAGGCAGCAGUGGGGAAUUUUGGACAAUGGGCGAAAGCUCGAUCCAGCAAUGCCGCGUGCAGGAAGAAGGCCUUCGGGUUGUAAACUGCUUUUGUACGGAGCGAAAAGGCUCUCUCUAAUACAGGGGGCUCAUGACGGUACCGUAAGAAUAAGCACCGGCUAACUACGUGCCAGCAGCCGCAGUAA
Molecule: ribosomal RNA, 493 nt
Filed under: uncultured bacterium
Lineage: Bacteria
Description: partial 16S ribosomal RNA
Rfam family: Bacterial small subunit ribosomal RNA
Source: RNAcentral